CAAGGCAAAAGGCACUAGCAGGUACCCAUGUGCAGCUGCAAUAGAAGCAGCCAACUAAAAGCUUCAAACUGCUGCUGUCAAACAACUGCAUCGAAUGAAAAUGUACCACAAAAUGGACGUUUUCAAACCUGAAAAGGACAGAGGCAUUGCUCCAGUUUCACGUUGGAUUUUCAUCAUCAGGAGCAGGUAGAGGUGUCAGAAUACAGUGUGCCAGCUGAUUCCUUAGCUGAAAGUGCA
Seriola dumerili (greater amberjack) is the source of this 237-nucleotide long non-coding RNA. RefSeq lists it as uncharacterized. The transcript is spliced from 3 exons. NCBI's taxonomy places the organism in Eukaryota, Metazoa, Chordata, Actinopteri, Carangiformes, Carangidae. The record is from RefSeq and is a predicted model, not a curated record.